Molecule: RNA transcript, 2700 nt
Organism: Nymphaea colorata (pocket water lily)
Lineage: Eukaryota; Viridiplantae; Streptophyta; Magnoliopsida; Nymphaeales; Nymphaeaceae
Exons: 4
Source: RefSeq, a predicted model, not a curated record
UUUCUUUUAUUUUUUCAGACAAGUGGAUGCAGGGAGCCAAAAAGGUUUUUGCACCAUGCCCCACGGAAAUCUCGGCGAGUGGUGGUAUCGAUGAUUCGACGACAAGAGAGGGCAUUUAACCAAGCCGCAACCUCCGUUUAUCCCAGGAAAUCUGGGAUGGCGUUCCAUCUACACUCUCCCGCCAUUGAUGGAUGUCCAACCAUCCAGCCAUCUACUUCCCCGGGCUGCAGCAUGAGGUGACUUUGGACCAUGGAGCAAGUUAUGUUUCUCAGGCCUAACUUUGGUGUUCCAAACUUCCGAUACUCAACCACCAGGAGCGUUUCUUUCUUUCCUUGUAAGUACAGGCACAAGGGUACCCGUGUGAGUUCUCAGUCCACCGGGAAGCCAGUAGUCUCAAUCUCUUGUUGCUACCAAAAUUCAAGACCAACGAGAAAACCCAACUUCGCCAACUUCAGUUUCAGACUACCCAUCACCCCAUUUUGCGUUUUGGUCCCCUUGGUGCACAGUUUCAGGGAUUUCUUGUCUAUAGGAUUGAAGCCCGUCUUUGAAAAAUGGGCUCUCGGCAUGAAGUUCUGUGAUCAGACGGACAUUUUGAUAGGGGAAGACAAAUUCGGGGUCCUCGAAUGCGGCGGAAUCGGGAUGGCCCUCCUCAGCACCUCCUUGGUGGCGAAGGCCCACAUUAGCCCUGUGCUCGCGACGUUGGCAGCGAACCCGACGUUCGUUUCGGGGCUAUUUGCGUGGGCAAUAGCUCAGUCUAUGAAGUUCCUGCUACAUUUCUGCGUAGAAAGGAAGUGGAAUUUCCAGGUUUUGGUGAGUUCCGGGGGAAUGCCUUCUUCCCACACCGCGCUCUGUACCGCCUUGACGACUUCGGUAGCUCUCUGUCACGGAAUCAGCGAUUCGCUUUUUCCAGUCUGCCUUGGUUUUUCUCUUAUCGUCAUGUACGAUGCUACCGGCGUUCGGCGGCAUGCCGGUAUGCAAGCAGAGGUUCUCAAUAUGAUUGUUGAAGAUCUAUUUAAAGGGCAUCCUUGCAGCGAAAAGAAACUCAAAGAACUCCUUGGUCAUACUCCAUCUCAAGUUAUUGCUGGGGCUUUUCUUGGCAUGCUCAUUUCCUACCUCUGCUGCAACAAUUGCCUAGUUGGAAUAUAAGAUGGAUAAAGCUGCGAUCUUAUUUAUCAAUUUUACCAGAUGGUUCUCAGCAAAGGAAAAUCAUAUCAAAUGGUGUACUUUCUAAUCAUAAUGGGAAAGUAUUGAAUAGUGUGAUUUUUAAACUAGUGAAAUUGACCAAUCCAGUGUUGCAAUGAUGACUGAUCACUGAUCAGAGCAACCACAAUAUGUUUAGAGCAACCGCAAUAUGUUCAUGCUCAAUAUUGACUGCAUACAUGUGACUGACUGAAUGUUUGUUCAACAUAAAAUAGUGGCUUCGUGGAUUUUUAUCAGAUCAUGCUAGCCUAUAUCUUUUGGUCAUUGAACGUAUUGACUUUUGAGAUUGAAAUAAGUUAUUUGUAUCGAUGUUUUGUAUUAGGGAACACAUUUUCAAUUGGUUCAUUAUGCAAUUCCCAAUUAAUUUGGACUUUCUGCUUGGGAAGACAGAAGGCAGUUAGCGAGAGCCGUAGGCGAGCGGAUGAGGAAAGAUCAAUCCUGUUUAUCAUUUUUGAUCUACAUAUUUCUACUGGUUCUUCAAAUUAACCCGGCUGGCACAUAUAACCAGUAAAAGAUUGAACUUGAACACUAUAUUUGUUCAAGAAGCAAGAAGGCCAACAACAAAUCUUAAUGCAUGGUUAGGUGGAAGAAGUUCAAGCUGGAGGACAUUGUGAGUUUGAUACCUGGGGUGUUGUUUUUGCCAUAACAAUGAAGAAAGGGGGACCCCGCUAGUGGUGGGGAAGGGGUUUCAGGACGGGCUUGAAGUUUGAACCACUAGUGGUGGUGAAGGGGUAUCAGGACGGGUUUGAAGUUUGAACUCUGGAACAGUGAAGCACUGCCGUCUUUGUGGCACCUCUGGGCUUGUGCUGUAUGUCCAAAUCCAGUUGUGGUUUCUCCUGAAAGGUUAGGUGAACUGAACUCUCCUUCAGUGAGGUGCAAAAUUUAGAAUCAGAUUACCAAAUGCAACAUUCAGUACUGAUCAUAAAAAUAAAAUAAACUGUAGACCUAUGUCAGCUGCAAAAAUGGACCACCAACCAUGGAUGCUGUAGGCGGGCAAGACUGAUGAGGUUUACUAGAAGACACCAUGUGUACAGUACAUGUAGAGGGGUAUUUAUGUGUAGAGCUCACAUGCAUGUAUUCAUGUUCACAUUAGCAUCUGGUGCUUACAUUUUGAUGAGGGCGACUAUUCUCUUGGUGGGUAUUCCUCUAGUGGUGGUUGAGAUGUUUUUUUGGUGCUAUGACGUGUGAUAUCAUGGCGAGUUCAUAAAUACAAAACAAUCUUCUAUAGAAAUUCUUGUUGAUAAAUCCUUCUGUCUAAUCACAAAAGGGAGUCUCUUCGGAGACAUCCUAUAAUCACAAAAAGGAUACUUUGUCAUUGUGAACUCUUGCACAUGUUUUAUUUUCGUCUAUUAUUAUUAUUAUUUGGAUAAGGAGUGCAUGUGUGUCUUAUUUGCAAUUUACACACGUUUUUACUUUUGUAUCUGCGUCAAUGUUGUAAACAGGUUCCUUUUUUUUUUUCAAUUAGAAACAAAGUUCUUAUGCUAGUCUUUAUUGCUAUAU